AGUCGAACGGUGUCUUCGGACAUAGUGGCGGACGGGUGAGUAACGCGUGAGAAUCUGGCCUUGGGUUCGGGACAACCACUGGAAACGGUGGCUAAUACCGGAUGUGCCGAAAGGUGAAAGAUUAAUUGCCUGAGGAUGAGCUCGCGUCUGAUUAGCUAGUUGGUGGGGUAAAGGCCUACCAAGGCGGCGAUCAGUAGCUGGUCUGAGAGGACGAUCAGCCACACUGGGACUGAGACACGGCCCAGACUCCUACGGGAGGCAGCAGUGGGGAAUUUUCCGCAAUGGGCGAAAGCCUGACGGAGCAAUACCGCGUGAGGGAGGAAGGCUCUUGGGUUGUAAACCUCUUUUCUCAGGGAAGAACAAAAUGACGGUACCUGAGGAAUAAGCAUCGGCUAACUCCGUGCCAGCAGCCGCGGUAAUACGGAGGAUGCAAGCGUUAUCCGGAAUGAUUGGGCGUAAAGCGUCCGCAGGUGGCAUUGCAAGUCUGCUGUCAAAGGCCAGGGCUCAACCCUGAAAAGGCAGUGGAAACUGAAAUGCUGGAGUGCGGUAGGGGUAGAGGGAAUUCCCGGUGUAGCGGUGAAAUGCGUAGAGAUCGGGAAGAACACCAGUGGCGAAGGCGCUCUACUAGGCCGCAACUGACACUCAUGGACGAAAGCUAGGGGAGCGAAUGGGAUUAGAUACCCCAGUAGUCCUAGCUGUAAACGAUGGAUACUAGGCGUUGAGAGUAUCGACCCUCUCAGUGUCGUAGCUAACGCGUUAAGUAUCCCGCCUGGGGAGUACGCGCGCAAGCGUGAAACUCAAAGGAAUUGACGGGGGCCCGCACAAGCGGUGGAGUAUGUGGUUUAAUUCGAUGCAACGCGAAGAACCUUACCAGGGCUUGACAUGUC
Molecule: ribosomal RNA, 887 nt
Filed under: uncultured bacterium
Lineage: Bacteria
Description: bacterial SSU rRNA
Rfam family: Bacterial small subunit ribosomal RNA
Source: RNAcentral